CAGGGGUCACCUUGGUGGUGCUCAGCAGCAGGAGUAAGAGGACGAAAAAAAAAAAGAUGGAGCAGCAAGACUACAAAAGUGGAGUAAGCAGAGAUGUGGAGGAGCCAGAAACAUUGUGGCUUGGUUCUUUCUUGUGAGGUGGAAGUAGGGACACUUUGUAAGUACAUCGUGUGAUUGGUGCUCUUCUGUCCUCCCUCUCACUCCCCACAUCUCUCAGUUUUACAAUUUGUGUAGUGAAGAAAAUUAGAAGUUUCUAAUUCAUAUUUACCUCGUGGUCUCUCUUUUUGUUUCUCUAAAAUUUCAUUACUACAAGAUUGCAUCAGUAUUUUUUCAGCUAGCUAGCUCCAUUCUUGACGUGAUGCUCCAAUAUCACACUUCUUGACGUGAUGCUCCAAUAUCAGGGGUCUUGGGUCCGCUCAAUGAAUAGCAAUGAAAAUCUUCCUCCACUAGCAAGUGAGAACCGGAGGGGAAGAGGAAGAUGCAUAGAGGGAGAUUGAAAGGAGGAGAAUAUAGUCCGAGCGAGGAGGAAGAGGAGACCU
This is a long non-coding RNA of Lolium rigidum, 539 nucleotides long. RefSeq lists it as uncharacterized. Lineage: Eukaryota; Viridiplantae; Streptophyta; Magnoliopsida; Poales; Poaceae. The transcript has 3 exons. The record is from RefSeq and is a predicted model, not a curated record.